GCGCGAAAAUUCUGCAAUAGGCGAAAGCUUGACAGAGUUACUCUGAGUGAUGCCCGCUAAGGGCAUCUUUUGGCACCUCUAAAAAUGGUGCAGAAUAAGGGGUGGGCAAGUCUGGUGUCAGCCGCCGCGGUAAUACCAGCACCCCGAGUGGUCGGGACGAUUAUUGGGCCUAAAGCAUCCGUAGCUUGUUCUGCAAGUCUUCCGUUAAAUCCACCUGCUCAACAGAUGGGCUGCGGGAGAUACUACAGGGCUAGGAGGCGGGAGAGGCAAGCGGUACUCAGUGGGUAGGGGUAAAAUCCUCUGAUCCACUGAAGACCACCAGUGGCGAAGGCGGCUUGCCAGAACGCGCUCGACGGUGAGGGAUGAAAGCUGGGGGAGCAAACCGG
This 386-nucleotide ribosomal RNA is filed under the name uncultured bacterium. RNAcentral describes it as "bacterial SSU rRNA". It matches the Rfam family "Archaeal small subunit ribosomal RNA", at positions 339 to 727 of the family's 1478-position model. The record is from RNAcentral.